GACGAACGCUGGCGGCGUGCUUAACACAUGCAAGUCGAACGGGUCUGCCCUGUUUUUUGCGGGGUGGGUCAGUGGCGAACGGGUGAGUAACACGUGAGUAACCUGCCCCUCACUUCUGGAUAACCGCUUGAAAGGGUGGCUAAUACGGGGUGUUCUGGCUGUGCCGCAUGGUGUGGCUGGGAAAGAUUCACUUUUGUGGUGUUUUGGUGGGGGAUGGGCUCGCGGCCUAUCAGCUUGUUGGUGGGGUGAUGGCCUGCCAAGGCUUUGACGGGUAGCCGGCCUGAGAGGGUGGGCGGUCACACUGGGACUGAGAUACGGCCCAGACUCCUGCGGGAGGCAGCAGUGGGGGGUAUUGCGCAAUGGGCGGAAGCCUGAUGCAGCGACGUCGCGUGAGGGAUGGAGGCCUUCGGGUUGUGAACCUCUUUCGCCGGUGAAGAAGGUCCUGCUCUUUGUGGUGGGGUUGACGGUAGCCGGGUUAUGAAGCGCCGGCUAACUACGUG
This 500-nucleotide ribosomal RNA is filed under the name uncultured bacterium. RNAcentral describes it as "partial 16S ribosomal RNA". It matches the Rfam family "Bacterial small subunit ribosomal RNA", at positions 28 to 507 of the family's 1533-position model. The record is from RNAcentral.